AGAGAUUUCGCUGAAGAGCCUGGCUUUGCUAGGCAACCCUCCGCAGAAAAAAAAUGAUUAAGCCAUUUCUUGCAGCAGUUACUCUUCUAAUAGUUACCGGGAUGGUUCUUGCGGCUCCACAAGUUCCUACCGGAGCUGUAGCAUUGGAUGCGCUCCAGCGCAUGAAUCUCUUCGCUACUACACCGCUUAAAACAGGUGUGUGGAGGCAGGGCGAGCCGUUCUUCCCAUUCGCGCCUUUCAACCCUGCCGUUGGAUUCGUCCUGGGCG
This is a long non-coding RNA of Rhipicephalus sanguineus (brown dog tick), 267 nucleotides long. RefSeq lists it as uncharacterized. The transcript has 3 exons. The record is from RefSeq and is a predicted model, not a curated record. Lineage: Eukaryota; Metazoa; Arthropoda; Arachnida; Ixodida; Ixodidae.